UGGACAGAAAGACCCUAUGAAGCUUUACUGUAACUUGAAAUUGAAAUUGGACUUUAUUCGCGCAGCAUAGGUGGGAGGCGUUGAUUAUAAUCUUGCGGGAUUAUUGGAGCCAUCAGUGAGAUACCACCCUUGUAAUGUUAGAUUUCUAACUUUGAAUCAUUAUCUGGUCAAAGGACUGUUUCAGGCGGGCAGUUUGACUGGGGCGGUCGCCUCCUAAACGGUAACGGAGGCGUACAAAGGUUUCCUCUGAACGGUUAGAAAUCGUAUCUAGAGUGUAAAGGCAUAAGGAAGCUUGACUGUGAGACCUACAAGUCGAGCAGGGACGAAAGUCGGUCUUAGUGAUCUGACGGUACUGAGUGGAAAGGCCGUCACUCAACGGAUAAAAGUUACUCUAGGGAUAACAGGCU
This 407-nucleotide ribosomal RNA is filed under the name uncultured eukaryote. RNAcentral describes it as "bacterial LSU rRNA". It matches the Rfam family "Bacterial large subunit ribosomal RNA", at positions 2077 to 2483 of the family's 2925-position model. The record is from RNAcentral.